RNAcentral lists this ribosomal RNA (719 nucleotides) under uncultured Fusobacterium sp. Its description in RNAcentral is "bacterial SSU rRNA". It matches the Rfam family "Bacterial small subunit ribosomal RNA", at positions 28 to 776 of the family's 1533-position model. The record is from RNAcentral. Lineage: Bacteria; Fusobacteriati; Fusobacteriota; Fusobacteriia; Fusobacteriales; Fusobacteriaceae.
GAUGAACGCUGCCAGAAUGCUUAACACAUGCAAGUCAACUUGAACUUCGGUUGGGUGGCGGACGGGUGAGUAACGCGUAAAGAACUUGCCUCACAGCUAGGGACAACAUUUGGAAACGAAUGCUAAUACCUGAUAUUAUGAUUUUAGGGCAUCCUAGGAUUAUGAAAGCUAUUGCGCUGUGAGAGAGCUUUGCGUCCCAUCAGCUAGUGGAGAGGUAACGGCUCACCAAGGCGAUGAUGGGUAGCCGGCCUGAGAGGGUGAUCGGCCACAAGGGGACUGAGACACGGCCCUUACUCCUACGGGAGGCAGCAGUGGGGAAUAUUGGACAAUGGACCAAGAGUCUGAUCCAGCAAUUCUGUGUGCACGAUGAAGUCUUUCGGAAUGUAAAGUGCUUUCAGUUGGGAAGAAAAAAAUGACGGUACCAACAGAAGAAGUGACGGCUAAAUACGUGCCAGCAGCCGCGGUAAUACGUAUGUCACAAGCGUUAUCCGGAUUUAUUGGGCGUAAAGCGCGUCUAGGUGGUUAUGUAAGUCUGAUGUGAAAAUGCAGGGCUCAACUCUGUAUUGCGUUGGAAACUGUGUAACUAGAGUACUGGAGAGGUAAGCGGAACUACAAGUGUAGAGGUGAAAUUCGUAGAUAUUUGUAGGAAUGCCGAUGGGGAAGCCAGCUUACUGGACAGAUACUGACGCUGAAGCGCGAAAGCGUGGGUAGCAAACAGG